RNAcentral lists this ribosomal RNA (1384 nucleotides) under Hapithus symphonos. Its description in RNAcentral is "eukaryotic LSU rRNA". It matches the Rfam family "Eukaryotic large subunit ribosomal RNA", at positions 646 to 1748 of the family's 3401-position model. The record is from RNAcentral. Lineage: Eukaryota; Metazoa; Arthropoda; Insecta; Orthoptera; Gryllidae.
GACCCGUCGAAACACGGACCAAGGAGUUAACAUGUGCGCGAGUCAAGGGGACUCUCUAAGCCCAAAGGCGCAAUGAAAGUGAAGGCGCGCGUCGCGGCUUCGGUCGCGCGCGCGCGCCGAGGGAAGAUGGCCGGGGGAGGGGGUCCCGCGGGGCCCCUUUUCUCCGCGAGCUCCGGCCCGCACUCCCGGGGCGUCGCCCGUCGCGGCGGCGCACCUAGAGCGUACACGUUGGUACCCGAAAGAUGGUGAACUAUGCCUGGCCAGGACGAAGCCAGGGGAAACCCUGGUGGAGGUCCGUAGCGAUUCUGACGUGCAAAUCGAUCGUCUGAGCUGGGUAUAGGGGCGAAAGACCAAUCGAACCAUCUAGUAGCUGGUUCCCUCCGAAGUUUCCCUCAGGAUAGCUGGCGCUCGGAGGCGAGAAAGAAUAUUUUUGUGAAAAAGACGGACGAAUCUCGUCCGGUAAAGCGAAUGAUUAGAGGCCUUAGGGCCGAAACGACCUUAACCUAUUCUCAAACUUUAAAUGGGCGAGAACCCCGGCAUGCUCGAGUGACUUGAAGCGGCGGUCCCGCUGCGCCCCCUCGGGGGCGCGCGAAGGCCGUCGUGAUGCCGGGGAUCGGAUCGAUGAGUGUCUAGUGGGCCACUUUUGGUAAGCAGAACUGGCGCUGUGGGAUGAACCAAACGCAGAGUUAAGGCGCCCAACUCGACGCUAAUGGGAUACCAUGAAGGGCGUUGUUUGCUUAGGACAGCAGGGCGGUGGCCAUGGAAGUCGGAAUCCGCUAAGGAGUGUGUAACAACUCACCUGCCGAAGCAACUAGCCCUGAAAAUGGAUGGCGCUGAAGCGUCGGGCCUAUACUCUGCCGCCGGCGGCAAGGUGAGGGCGCCCCGCACGUCCCGCGUCGGGGGCGCCGCGCUCCUUCGGGGGUGCGGCGCAGGAGCCCUGUUAGGCCCCGGCGAGUAGGAGGGUCGCGGCGGUGAGCGCAGAAGGGUCGGGCGCGAGCCCGCCUGGAGCCGCCGUCGGUGCAGAUCUUGGUAGUAGUAGCAAAUACUCUAGCGAGACCCUUGAGGGCUGAGGCGGAGAAGGGUUUCGUGUGAACAGCCGUUGCACACGAGUCAGUCGAUCCUAAGCCCUAGGAGAAAUCCGAUGCAGAUGCGGGCCGCCAGACUGACAUGCUUGUGUUGUUGGCCCCGAGGGGCGAAAGGGAAUCCGGUCCCUAUUCCGGAACCCGGUCGCGGAACCGUCUCACGUCGGGCCCCCGGCUUCGGCCGGUAGCUCGUCGGGGUAACCCAAAAAGACCCGGAGAAGCCGUCGGGAGGUCGGGGAAGAGUUGUCUUUUCUGUUUGAGCGUUCGGGUUCCCUGGAAUUGCCUAGCGCAGAGAGGGGAAU